This 824-nucleotide ribosomal RNA is filed under the name Vibrio jasicida. RNAcentral describes it as "bacterial SSU rRNA". It matches the Rfam family "Bacterial small subunit ribosomal RNA", at positions 59 to 863 of the family's 1533-position model. The record is from RNAcentral. Lineage: Bacteria; Pseudomonadati; Pseudomonadota; Gammaproteobacteria; Vibrionales; Vibrionaceae.
CAGUCGAGCGGAACGACUUAACUGAACCUUCGGGGGACGUUAAGGGCGUCGAGCGGCGGACGGGUGAGUAAUGCCUAGGAAAUUGCCCUGAUGUGGGGGAUAACCAUUGGAAACGAUGGCUAAUACCGCAUGAUGCCUACGGGCCAAAGAGGGGGACCUUCGGGCCUCUCGCGUCAGGAUAUGCCUAGGUGGGAUUAGCUAGUUGGUGAGGUAAUGGCUCACCAAGGCGACGAUCCCUAGCUGGUCUGAGAGGAUGAUCAGCCACACUGGAACUGAGACACGGUCCAGACUCCUACGGGAGGCAGCAGUGGGGAAUAUUGCACAAUGGGCGCAAGCCUGAUGCAGCCAUGCCGCGUGUGUGAAGAAGGCCUUCGGGUUGUAAAGCACUUUCAGUCGUGAGGAAGGUGGUGUAGUUAAUAGCUGCAUUAUUUGACGUUAGCGACAGAAGAAGCACCGGCUAACUCCGUGCCAGCAGCCGCGGUAAUACGGAGGGUGCGAGCGUUAAUCGGAAUUACUGGGCGUAAAGCGCAUGCAGGUGGUUUGUUAAGUCAGAUGUGAAAGCCCGGGGCUCAACCUCGGAAUAGCAUUUGAAACUGGCAGACUAGAGUACUGUAGAGGGGGGUAGAAUUUCAGGUGUAGCGGUGAAAUGCGUAGAGAUCUGAAGGAAUACCGGUGGCGAAGGCGGCCCCCUGGACAGAUACUGACACUCAGAUGCGAAAGCGUGGGGAGCAAACAGGAUUAGAUACUCUGGUAGUCCACGCCGUAAACGAUGUCUACUUGGAGGUUGUGGCCUUGAGCCGUGGCUUUCGGAGCUAACGCGUUAA